AAUUCAUCUCAUCUUAGACUUCCUCAACAUGUGAUUAUUGCUCCUCAUAGAACUCGUCCUAGAAGAUAGAAUAAUGUCACGGUGUUGUAAUACGUGAAGUCUUGCUUGAGAAUGCUCCUGGCACCUAGUUAUAGAAGGUAGAAUAGAAAUUGUAACAAAAAAAUCCUAACUCCAAUAGAAUACUAACUAAACUCUAAUUAAACCAUAAUAAUGCUAAGUAAGCUUUUAUCAAAUUCAAAAAAACCUCAAAAGAAUUACAAAGAAAUAAUAAUAAAUCUUAAAGAAAUAUUAGAAUGAUGACAAAUAUAUCUCAAAUACAUCUCAAUUCAAUCUUAAUUUAAUCCUAAUUAAAAUCUCAUUGGACUUCAUUCAAACUUUAGGCUAAAAACUAACUAAAUCUCAAAUCUUAAACAAACCAUAAUAAAAUCCUAAAUCCUAAACCAAAUCCUAACCAAAUCCUAAAUCAAACCUUAAUCAAACCUUAAAUCUAAAAUCAAAUCCUAAAUCCUAAACCAAAUCCUAAAUCCUAAACCAAAUCCUAACUAAAUCCUGAUCCUAAAUAAAAUCCCAACCGAAUCCUAAAUCCUAAAUCAAAUCCUAAUCAAACCUUAAAUCCUAAAUCAAAUCCUAAAUCCUAAACCAAACUCUAAUCAAAUCCUAAUCCUAAAUCAAAUCCUAACCAAAUCUUAAUCCUAAAUCAAACAUUAAUCACACCUUAACUCUAAAUCAAAUCCUAAUCAAAUCCUAAAUCCUAAACCAAAUCCUAACCAAACCUUAAAUCCUAAACCAAAUCCUAACCGAAUCUUACUAAUUUCUACAACAAAUUUAAAUAUCAAUAACUAAUAAAUGAACCAUAUAUUUUAAUUCAAUUUUUUCACAAUUCUUAAAAACUAAAUUCAAAACAAGUACAAAAAAUUUGAAAAGGAUCGAAAUUAUCAAAUAGACGAUAACCUCAAAAAUGUGCUCGGGUAUUGGUCA
RNAcentral lists this long non-coding RNA (978 nucleotides) under Physcomitrium patens. RNAcentral's name for it is "long non-coding RNA (PPAT_LNC007514)". The record is from RNAcentral. Lineage: Eukaryota; Viridiplantae; Streptophyta; Bryopsida; Funariales; Funariaceae.